Molecule: ribosomal RNA, 442 nt
Filed under: uncultured bacterium
Lineage: Bacteria
Description: partial 16S ribosomal RNA
Rfam family: Bacterial small subunit ribosomal RNA
Source: RNAcentral
CCUACGGGAGGCAGCAGUGGGGAAUAUUGGGCAAUGGGCGAAAGCCUGACCCAGCAACGCCGCGUGAAGGAAGAAGGCUUUCGGGUUGUAAACUUCUUUUGACGGGGAAGAGCAGAAGACGGUACCUGUCGAAUAAGCCACGGCUAACUACGUGCCAGCAGCCGCGGUAAUACGUAGGUGGCAAGCGUUGUCCGGAUUUACUGGGGGUAAAGGGCGUGUAGCCGGGCUGACAAGUCAGAUGUGAAAUCCGGGGGCUCAACCCCCGAACUGCAUUUGAAACUGUUGGUCUUGAGUAUCGGAGAGGCAGGCGGAAUUCCUAGUGUAGCGGUGAAAUGCGUAGAUAUUAGGAGGAACACCAGUGGCGAAGGCGGCCUGCUGGACGACAACUGACGGUGAGGCGCGAAAGCGUGGGGAGCAAACAGGAUUAGAUACCCCAGUAGUC